RNAcentral lists this ribosomal RNA (253 nucleotides) under uncultured bacterium. Its description in RNAcentral is "partial 16S ribosomal RNA". It matches the Rfam family "Bacterial small subunit ribosomal RNA", at positions 524 to 776 of the family's 1533-position model. The record is from RNAcentral.
UACGAAGGGGGCAAGCGUUGCUCGGAAUCACUGGGCGUAAAGGGCGCGUAGGCGGGCGUCUAAGUCAGGGGUGAAAUCCCGAGGCUCAACCUCGGAAUUGCCUUUGAUACUGGAUGUCUAGAGACCGGAAGAGGUGAGUGGAACUGCGAGUGUAGAGGUGAAAUUCGUAGAUAUUCGCAAGAACACCAGUGGCGAAGGCGGCUCACUGGUCCGGUUCUGACGCUGAGGCGCGAAAGCGUGGGGAGCAAACAGG